RNAcentral lists this ribosomal RNA (119 nucleotides) under Pteropus alecto (black flying fox). Lineage: Eukaryota; Metazoa; Chordata; Mammalia; Chiroptera; Pteropodidae. The record is from RNAcentral. RNAcentral also lists the same sequence under 1 other name.
GUCUAUGGCCAUGCCACCCUGAACAAGCCUGAUCCAGUCUGAUAUCGGAAGCUAAGCAGGAUCCGGCCUGGUUAGUACUUGGAUGGGAGACCACCUAGGAAGACCAGGUGCUGUAAGCA